AGAGUUUGAUCCUGGCUCAGGACGAACGCUGGCGGCGCGCCUAACACAUGCAAGUCGAACGGAGUUACUUUGAUAGAAUCCUUCGGGGUGACAUUGAUUUAACUUAGUGGCGAACGGGUGAGUAACACGUGAGGAACCUGCCCUUCAGAGGGGGACAACAGUUGGAAACGACUGCUAAUACCGCAUAAGACCACAGUACCGCAUGGUACAGGGGUCAAAGGAGCAAUCCGCUGAAGGAUGGCCUCGCGGCCGAUUAGCUAGAUGGCGGGGUAACGGCCCACCAUGGCGACGAUCGGUAGCCGGACUGAGAGGUUGAACGGCCACAUUGGGACUGAGACACGGCCCAGACUCCUACGGGAGGCAGCAGUGGGGAAUAUUGCACAAUGGAGGAAACUCUGAUGCAGCGACGCCGCGUGAGGGAAGAAGAUUUUCGGAUUGUAAACCUCUGUCUUCGGGGACGAUAAUGACGGUACCCGAGGAGGAAGCCACGGCUAACUACGUGCCAGCAGCCGCGGUAAUACGUAGGUGGCAAGCGUUGUCCGGAAUUACUGGGUGUAAAGGGAGCGCAGGCGGGUGUGCAAGUUGGAUGUUUAAACUAUGGGCUCAACCCAUAGGUGCAUUCAAAACUGCAUAUCUUGAGUGGUGCAGAGGCAGGCGGAAUUCCCGGUGUAGCGGUGGAAUGCGUAGAUAUCGGGAGGAACACCAGUGGCGAAGGCGGCCUGCUGGGCACUAACUGACGCUGAGGCUCGAAAGCAUGGGUAGCAAACAGGAUUAGAUACCCUGGUAGUCC
Molecule: ribosomal RNA, 790 nt
Filed under: uncultured bacterium
Lineage: Bacteria
Description: bacterial SSU rRNA
Rfam family: Bacterial small subunit ribosomal RNA
Source: RNAcentral